This 329-nucleotide unclassified non-coding RNA is filed under the name fungal sp. RNAcentral describes it as "partial internal transcribed spacer region". The stretch from base 1 to 46 matches the Rfam family "Eukaryotic small subunit ribosomal RNA", at positions 1786 to 1831 of the family's 1831-position model. Lineage: Eukaryota; Fungi. The record is from RNAcentral.
AAGUCGUAACAAGGUUUCCGUAGGUGAACCUGCGGAAGGAUCAUUAGCUUAGGAAGGGAGGAUGGAUGGGGGUAGAGAGGAGCCCAAGGGGGUAACUCCAAGACUCUUCGAUACUCAAUCCAACCCAACCCAACCCAACCCAACCCCAACCCACGUGAACAUGGAUAAUGUCUGUGAUGAUGGCGGCAGUGCUAGUGUGUGUGAGCUGCUACGCUUGCAUGGAUGAACAUUGCCGACAUUGUCAAUCACAAACCUUGUACAUUGUGCAAAAUCAUUAUAUUAUAUCUAAUCAAAACACACAACUUUUAACAAUGGAUCUCUUGGCUCCU